This is a non-coding RNA of Podarcis lilfordi (Lilford's wall lizard), 73 nucleotides long. The record is from the annotation of a GenBank genome assembly. NCBI's taxonomy places the organism in Eukaryota, Metazoa, Chordata, Lepidosauria, Squamata, Lacertidae.
AGCCAGUGUGGUGUAGUGGUUAGAGUGUUGGACCAGGACCCGGGAGGCCAGGGUUCAAAUCCCGGCUUGGUCA